GAAGCUGGAAUCGCUAGUAAUCGCAGAUCAGCAUGUCGCGGUGAAUACGUUCCCGGGUCUUGUACACACCGCCCGUCACACCAUGGGAGUCAGCAACGCCCGAAGUCAGUGACCUAACCGAGAGGAAGGAGCUGCCGAAGGCGGGGCAGGUAACUGGGGUGAAGUCGUAACAAGGUAUC
RNAcentral lists this ribosomal RNA (179 nucleotides) under uncultured bacterium. Its description in RNAcentral is "partial 16S ribosomal RNA". It matches the Rfam family "Bacterial small subunit ribosomal RNA", at positions 1322 to 1500 of the family's 1533-position model. The record is from RNAcentral.